Molecule: ribosomal RNA, 776 nt
Filed under: uncultured Neocallimastigales
Lineage: Eukaryota; Fungi; Neocallimastigomycota; Neocallimastigomycetes; Neocallimastigales
Description: partial large subunit ribosomal RNA
Rfam family: Eukaryotic large subunit ribosomal RNA
Source: RNAcentral
UAGAUGCGAGAGUAGAGCAUAUCAAUAAGCGGAGGAAAAGAAACUAACAAGGAUUCCCUUAGUAACGGCGAGUGAAGCGGGAAGAGCUCAAAUUUGAAAUCUUCAAGGUUUUACCUUGACGAAUUGUAGUUUAAAGAAGUGUUUUCUGUUAGUGGAGUGGCAAAAGUUCUUUGGAAUAGGACAUCAUAGAGGGUGAGAAUCCCGUAUUUGGUCCGUUACUUUCUAGCUUUGUGAUACACUUUCAACGAGUCGGAUUGUUUGGGAAUGCAGGCCAAAAUGGGUGGUAAAUUUCAUCUAAAGCUAAAUAUUGGCGAGAGACCGAUAGCGAACAAGUACCGUGAGGGAAAGAUGAAAAGAACUUUGAAAAGAGAGUUAAACAGUACGUGAAAUAGUCAAAAGGGAAGCGUUUGACACCAGUGUUGCUUUUCCGAAAAUCAAUUACGAAUGUUUUAUUUUUGAGGAGUUAUGACUUCAUCGGCUUGCUCCUUUCUUUACGAAACUUUCUUAAUGCACUUUUCGGUUAACAAGUCAACAUCAAUUUCUUUUGUUGUAAAAGGGUAUGAGGAAGGUGGCUUUCUUUUCGGAGAAAGUGUUUAUAGCCUUGUACCUCUGCAAUCGGAGAGAUUGAGGUCUGCAGCGUAGAUCCUUCGGGGUUAGAUACAUUUGUGCUAAGUUAUAGCUUUUCAUAGACAACUUGUUGACUAUGUUAAGUCUUGUAGCUUACUCGCUUACGCUAUUUUACCUACGCUUAGGAUGUUGACGAGACUGUCGAUCUC